UACGGAGGGGACUAGCGUUGUUCGGAAUUACUGGGCAUAAAGGGCGCGUAGGCGGCCUACUAAGUCAGACGUGAAAUCCCCAGGCUUAACUUGGGAACUGCGUCUGAUACUGGGAGGCUUGAGUGCGGGAGAGGGAUGUGGAAUUCCAGGUGUAGCGGUGAAAUGCGUAGAUAUCUGGAGGAACACCGGUGGCGAAGGCGGCAUCCUGGACCGACACUGACGCUGAGGCGCGAAAGCUAGGGGAGCAAACGGG
Molecule: ribosomal RNA, 253 nt
Filed under: uncultured bacterium
Lineage: Bacteria
Description: partial 16S ribosomal RNA
Rfam family: Bacterial small subunit ribosomal RNA
Source: RNAcentral